This 460-nucleotide ribosomal RNA is filed under the name uncultured bacterium. RNAcentral's name for it is "partial 16S ribosomal RNA". It matches the Rfam family "Bacterial small subunit ribosomal RNA", at positions 338 to 795 of the family's 1533-position model. The record is from RNAcentral.
CCUACGGGAUGCAGCAGUGAGGAAUAUUGGUCAAUGGACGCAAGUCUGAACCAGCCAUGCCGCGUGCAGGAAGACGGCUCUAUGAGUUGUAAACUGCUUUUGUACGAGGGUAAACGCAGAUACGCGUAUCUGUCUGAAAGUAUCGUACGAAUAAGGAUCGGCUAACUCCGUGCCAGCAGCCGCGGUAAUACGGAGGAUUCAAGCGUUAUCCGGAUUUAUUGGGUUUAAAGGGUGCGUAGGCGGUCGGAUAAGUUAGAGGUGAAAUCCCGAGGCUCAACUUCGGAAUUGCCUCUGAUACUGUUAGGCUAGAGAGUAGUUGCGGUAGGCGGAAUGUAUGGUGUAGCGGUGAAAUGCUUAGAGAUCAUACAGAACACUGAUUGCGAAGGCAGCUUACCAAGCUACAUCUGACGUUGAGGCACGAAAGCGUGGGGAGCAAACAGGAUUAGAUACCCUUGUAGUC